AGUGAACGCUGGCGGUAGGCCUAACACAUGCAAGUCGAACGGCAGCACAGGAGAGCUUGCUCUCUGGGUGGCGAGUGGCGGACGGGUGAGGAAUACAUCGGAAUCUACUCUGUCGUGGGGGAUAACGUAGGGAAACUUACGCUAAUACCGCAUACGACCUACGGGUGAAAGCAGGGGACCUUCGGGCCUUGCGCGAUUGAAUGAGCCGAUGUCGGAUUAGCUAGUUGGCGGGGUAAAGGCCCACCAAGGCGACGAUCCGUAGCUGGUCUGAGAGGAUGAUCAGCCACACGGGAACUGAGACAAGGUCCAGACUCAUACGGGAGGCAGCAGUGGGGAAUAUUGGACAAUGGGCGCAAGCAUGAUCCAGCCAUACCGCGUGGGUGAAGAAGGCCUUCGGGUUGUAAAGCCCUUUUGUUGGGAAAGAAAUCCAGCUGGCUAAUACCCGGUUGGGAUGACGGUACCCAAAGAAUAAGCACCGGCUAACUUCGUGCCAGCCGCCGCAGUAA
Molecule: ribosomal RNA, 506 nt
Filed under: uncultured bacterium
Lineage: Bacteria
Description: partial 16S ribosomal RNA
Rfam family: Bacterial small subunit ribosomal RNA
Source: RNAcentral